GUUGUCAAUUGGGAUAAAUAGAGCAAAUAGUGAGUUCAGGUUGACUUAAUUAAUAUUAUUUGGAACUGACCUUUUAUUAAUUAGGACAUUUUGGUAACACUAAUAAUGGGUCAAUAGCUCUGGUAGAACAAAUAUUAUGGUUGGUACCACUUAAGAUAUUUGUUUCCACCACUUUCUAACCACACAUAUGCUACAAGGCUUGUGGUCCACAUGUUACUACCUUAUUGUUACCUACCAUAAGCCAUUUGGUUUCUAUGUAUCAGAAAGCAUAGAAAGAAAGAGGAAGCUUAAGAGAAGAAGGAGAGCAAGGCUAGUGGAGAAGAAGAAGAAGAAGGAAAGCUUGGAACCAACACCAUCAUCUUCAUCCUCAUCUCAUCUUCAACAACUUCUCCUCUUCAAUUUCUUGAGGUGGUUCUGAGCAGGAUAAGGGUAAGGGCAAGAUAGAGUGAUGUCUUGCUUACCUGAGGACUGGUGGCUUUUCUUCCGCUAUGUAGAUAUUUUUUGAGAUCAUUGUCUAAUGAUCUAGAUCAGUAGUUUUAUUUUGGGCACUCUUAUGUACAUUUAUGCCAUAUUAUGUUAUUUUGGGCAUGUAUUGUAUAUGUAUGAUGUGCUUCUAGGCACUUAUGUAUUUCAGUACCAGUUUUACACUAUGUAUAAUAUGUAUUCUAGACA
Lathyrus oleraceus (garden pea) is the source of this 672-nucleotide long non-coding RNA. RefSeq lists it as uncharacterized. The record is from RefSeq and is a predicted model, not a curated record. The transcript has 2 exons. Lineage: Eukaryota; Viridiplantae; Streptophyta; Magnoliopsida; Fabales; Fabaceae.